Molecule: long non-coding RNA, 649 nt
Organism: Camarhynchus parvulus
Lineage: Eukaryota; Metazoa; Chordata; Aves; Passeriformes; Thraupidae
Exons: 4
Source: RefSeq, a predicted model, not a curated record
UGCACGGAGGAGAUGCGCCCUCCGCCGCCCGGAGAGCCGGCUCCAGCCCCGCGGGCCCGGCCGCCGCCGCCGCGGGCUGUCGGCGGAGCGGUGAGGUUCUCCUGAGCCCGGAGCCCCCCGGAUGAGGCGUUGGAGUCGGUUUUGGGAGAGUGGCGGAGGGGCGGCCGCUGCCGUGAGCAGGCAGUGGGUGUCCUGCUGGUGGAGGUGACGCCUCUGGAGCCAGCUUUGGGACAUGGACCCCGGCAACGCCGCCAAAGUGCCCCUGGCUGCGGGGCGCCGGAGCAGGAGGGUCGCCCUCUGCCUUUUCCCUUGGGACCAGGCGAGCCAGAUUAGUGGAGGGGCAACUCGGUCCAGAGCGCACGUCGGAGACCCGUGGAGCUUUGGGGCCGCAGGUUUUGGAGCCCGGAUCUUUGCGGGGCACUGUUGACCUCCAGCGCCGCGGGCAGAGGUGGCUUUGGGCAGGGGCACCGUGCUCCCUUCUCCGCGUCAAACAAGCCGUGCUGAACAGAUCGCUCAGCUCUUGGCACCUUCCUGAGAGAUCAGACGGCAUCGCUGGGGGAGCCACAUCCUUUAGUGCUGCAAUUCAUUUCCAGAGCUCUGGUUCCCUCCCUGCUCAUCUUUCCAAGGUACGUGCCUCACAGCUCCCAGC